RNAcentral lists this ribosomal RNA (468 nucleotides) under uncultured bacterium. RNAcentral describes it as "partial 16S ribosomal RNA". It matches the Rfam family "Bacterial small subunit ribosomal RNA", at positions 28 to 507 of the family's 1533-position model. The record is from RNAcentral.
GACGAACGCUGGCGGCGUGCUUAACACAUGCAAGUCGAACGGAAAGGCCCUGCUUUUGUGGGGUGCUCGAGUGGCGAACGGGUGAGUAACACGUGAGUAACCUGCCCUUGACUUUGGGAUAACUUCAGGAAACUGGGGCUAAUACCGGAUAGGAGCUCCUGCUGCAUGGUGGGGGUUGGAAAGUUUCGGCGGUUGGGGAUGGACUCGCGGCUUAUCAGCUUGUUGGUGGGGUAGUGGCUUACCAAGGCUUUGACGGGUAGCCGGCCUGAGAGGGUGACCGGCCACUUGGGGACUGAGAUACGGCCCAGACUCCUACGGGGGGCAGCGGGGGGGAAUAUGACACAGGGGGCGGACGCGUGAUGCGGCGGCCCCGCGGGCGGAAUGACGGCCUUCGGGUUGUAAACCGCUUCCGCCUGUGACGAGGCGGGAGUGACGGUAAUGGAAAAAGAAGCCCCGGCUAACUCCGUG